GACGAACGCUGGCGGCGUGCCUAAUACAUGCAAGUAGAACGCUGAAGAGAGGAGCUUGCUCUUCUUGGAUGAGUUGCGAACGGGUGAGUAACGCGUAGGUAACCUGCCUUGUAGCGGGGGAUAACUAUUGGAAACGAUAGCUAAUACCGCAUAACAAUGGAUGACACAUGUCAUUUAUUUGAAAGGGGCAAUUGCUCCACUACAAGAUGGACCUGCGUUGUAUUAGCUAGUAGGUGAGGUAAUGGCUCACCUAGGCGACGAUACAGAGCCGACCUGAGGGGGUGGACGGCCCACCUGGGACUGGGACACCGCCCAGACCCCUACGGGAGGCAGCAGGAGGGAAUCUUCGGCAAUGGGGGCAACGCUGACCGAGCAACGCCGCGGGAGUGAAGAAGGUUUUCGGAUCGUAAAGCUCUGUUGUAAGUCAAGAACGGGUGUGAGAGUGGAAAGUUCACACUGUGACGGUAGCUUACCAGAAAGGGACGGCUAACUACGUG
RNAcentral lists this ribosomal RNA (497 nucleotides) under uncultured bacterium. Its description in RNAcentral is "partial 16S ribosomal RNA". It matches the Rfam family "Bacterial small subunit ribosomal RNA", at positions 28 to 507 of the family's 1533-position model. The record is from RNAcentral.